This is a long non-coding RNA of Pistacia vera, 341 nucleotides long. RefSeq lists it as uncharacterized. The transcript is spliced from 3 exons. The record is from RefSeq and is a predicted model, not a curated record. NCBI's taxonomy places the organism in Eukaryota, Viridiplantae, Streptophyta, Magnoliopsida, Sapindales, Anacardiaceae.
UGAUUGGAAAGGCUCUCAUACUGGAUCAGAUAAUUAAAUAUGUCCAAGUCCUACAGAUUCAAGUGGAGUUCCUUGCAGCAAAACUUGCUUCUGUAAGUCCCAUAUAUGACUUUGAAGUGGACUCCGACUCACACACACUUGCCCAGGAGAAGACUCGCAGCUUGGAUUUUCAAUUACCAGCUGUUCUAGAAUCCAGCUCCACCCAGCUCACAUCUUUCCCGGCAGAGAGUUCUACACGUAUUGGACCAAAUUUCCUGUUACCUAAUCAGGAGCAAACUUUGAUAAUCAAUCAGUUUCAGGAUAAUACCAAUCAGUUAUGGGGCACAGAUGACAGCCAGAGA